UCCGGUUCUUCACCAGCAGUCUCCUUAGAGUCCCCGACUUUACUCGAUGGUAACUAAGGACAAGGGUUGCGCUCGUUACGGGACUUAACCCAACAUCUCACAACACGAGCUGACGACAGCCAUGCAGCACCUGUCUCUCCGCUCCUUUCGGCACUCCAGUCUCUCAACUAGAUUCAGAGGAUGUCAAAAGUAGGUAAGGUUCUUCGCGUUGCAUCGAAUUAAACCACAUGCUCCACCGCUUGUGCGGGCCCCCGUCAAUUCCUUUGAGUUUCAACCUUGCGGCCGUACUCCCCAGGCGGAAUACUUAUCGCGUUUGCUUCGAUACUGAUAGGUCGCCCUACCAACAUCUAGUAUUCAUCGUUUACAGCGUGGACUAC
This 377-nucleotide unclassified non-coding RNA is filed under the name uncultured Gammaproteobacteria bacterium. RNAcentral's name for it is "contains 16S-23S intergenic spacer region". Lineage: Bacteria; Pseudomonadati; Pseudomonadota; Gammaproteobacteria. The record is from RNAcentral.